GGGGGGUGGCUAUACUGCAGUCGAACGCUUCUUUCCUCCCGAGUGCUUGCACUCAAUUGGAAAGAGGAGUGGCGGACGGGUGAGUAACACGUGGGUAACCUACCCAUCAGAGGGGGAUAACACUUGGAAACAGGUGCUAAUACCGCAUAACAGUUUAUGCCGCAUGGCAUAAGAGUGAAAGGCGCUUUCGGGUGUCGCUGAUGGAUGGACCCGCGGUGCAUUAGCUAGUUGGUGAGGUAACGGCUCACCAAGGCCACGAUGCAUAGCCGACCUGAGAGGGUGAUCGGCCACACUGGGACUGAGACACGGCCCAGACUCCUACGGGAGGCAGCAGUAGGGAAUCUUCGGCAAUGGACGAAAGUCUGACCGAGCAACGCCGCGUGAGUGAAGAAGGUUUUCGGAUCGUAAAACUCUGUUGUUAGAGAAGAACAAGGACGUUAGUAACUGAACGUCCCCUGACGGUAUCUAACCAGAAAGCCACGGCUAACUACGUGCCAGCAGCCGCGGUAAUACGUAGGUGGCAAGCGUUGUCCGGAUUUAUUGGGCGUAAAGCGAGCGCAGGCGGUUUCUUAAGUCUGAUGUGAAAGCCCCCGGCUCAACCGGGGAGGGUCAUUGGAAACUGGGAGACUUGAGUGCAGAAGAGGAGAGUGGAAUUCCAUGUGUAGCGGUGAAAUGCGUAGAUAUAUGGAGGAACACCAGUGGCGAAGGCGGCUCUCUGGUCUGUAACUGACGCUGAGGCUCGAAAGCGUGGGGAGCAAACAGGAUUAGAUACCCUGGUAGUCCACGCCGUAAACGAUGAGUGCUAAGUGUUGGAGGGUUUCCGCCCUUCAGUGCUGCAGCAAACGCAUUAAGCACUCCGCCUGGGGAGUACGACCGCAAGGUUGAAACUCAAAGGAAUUGACGGGGGCCCGCACAAGCGGUGGAGCAUGUGGUUAAUUCGAGCAACGCGAAGACC
Molecule: ribosomal RNA, 955 nt
Filed under: Enterococcus faecalis
Lineage: Bacteria; Bacillati; Bacillota; Bacilli; Lactobacillales; Enterococcaceae
Description: bacterial SSU rRNA
Rfam family: Bacterial small subunit ribosomal RNA
Source: RNAcentral